UAAACUUAACCUCAAUGUUAGGGUGCUUCU
RNAcentral lists this non-coding RNA (30 nucleotides) under Mus musculus (house mouse). The record is from RNAcentral. Lineage: Eukaryota; Metazoa; Chordata; Mammalia; Rodentia; Muridae.